GACGAACGCUGGCGGCGUGCUUAACACAUGCAAGUCGAACGGUGAACCUCUUCGGAGGGGAUCAGUGGCGAACGGGUGAGUAACACGUGGGCAACCUGCCCCCGGCUCUGGGAUAACUCCAAGAAAUUGGGGCUAAUACCGGAUGUUCACCGCUUCCCGCAUGGGUGGUGGUGGAAAGGGUUUCCGGCUGGGGAUGGGCCCGCGGCCUAUCAGCUUGUUGGUGGGGUAGUGGCCUACCAAGGCGACGACGGGUAGCCGGCCUGAGAGGGUGACCGGCCACACUGGGACUGAGACACGGCCCAGACUCCUACGGGGGGCAGCAGUGGGGAAUAUUGCGCAAUGGGCGGAAGCCUGACGCAGCGACGCCGCGUGGGGGAUGACGGCCUUCGGGUUGUAAACCUCUUUCAGCAGGGACGAAGCGCAAGUGACGGUACCUGCAGAAGAAGCACCGGCCAACUACGUG
Molecule: ribosomal RNA, 463 nt
Filed under: uncultured bacterium
Lineage: Bacteria
Description: partial 16S ribosomal RNA
Rfam family: Bacterial small subunit ribosomal RNA
Source: RNAcentral